UACGUAGGGUGCGAGCGUUAAUCGGAAUUACUGGGCGUAAAGGGCGCGUAGGCGGCCUUCUAAGUCAGACGUGAAAUCCCCGGGCUCAACCCGGGAACUGCGUCUGAUACUGGAAGGCUUGAAUCCGGGAGAGGGAUGUGGAAUUCCAGGUGUAGCGGUGAAAUGCGUAGAUAUCUGGAGGAACACCGGUGGCGAAGGCGGCAUCCUGGACCAACACUGACGCUGAGUGAGCGAAAGCCAGGGGAGCAAACGGG
RNAcentral lists this ribosomal RNA (254 nucleotides) under uncultured bacterium. RNAcentral describes it as "partial 16S ribosomal RNA". It matches the Rfam family "Bacterial small subunit ribosomal RNA", at positions 524 to 776 of the family's 1533-position model. The record is from RNAcentral.